AGCAUGUGGUUUAAUUCGAUACAAAACGAAGAACCUUACUAGGACUUGACAUGCCAUAAAUCCUCUUGAAAGAGAUGGUUGCCUUUGGGAACGUAGACACUGGUGGUGCAUGGAUAUCGCCAGCUCGUGCCAUAAGGUGUUAGGUUAACAUAUGUAGAGCCCCAACUAGCUGACAAUAUUUGAUUGGAUGUGGUUUAAGAGGAUUAUCACCAAGUGCAAGGAUUGGGAUGUGCU
RNAcentral lists this long non-coding RNA (234 nucleotides) under Helianthus annuus (common sunflower). RNAcentral's name for it is "Bacterial small subunit ribosomal RNA". It matches the Rfam family "Bacterial small subunit ribosomal RNA", at positions 936 to 1176 of the family's 1533-position model. The record is from RNAcentral. Lineage: Eukaryota; Viridiplantae; Streptophyta; Magnoliopsida; Asterales; Asteraceae.